Molecule: long non-coding RNA, 1050 nt
Organism: Anser brachyrhynchus (Pink-footed goose)
Lineage: Eukaryota; Metazoa; Chordata; Aves; Anseriformes; Anatidae
Source: Ensembl
AUGGGUACUUGCAGACUACGCUCACCCCCUUGCCUUCCCCACAUGUGCCUGCUCUCUCCAUCACGCUUGUGUGCUGCCCAGCACCCACCCACAGCCCCCGACACACACACACACCAACGCGCACAUACACCCUGCAGCACACACACACACCAACACGCACAUCACUACCAGCACACACGCAUGCACACACUGCACACCAGGGGAGCAGUGCACAAGCAUGCACUAGCACACGCACACAUGCACAUACAUGCUCAGGCUGGGGCUGCUCCCACACACGGGCUCAGUGCGGUUUGCAUGCAUGCAGAAACAAGGACGUGCUCAGCUCUGCAUCUCUCACACAGGCUUGUUGUGGAGCUCACACCCCGGCACAAACGCGCACACCGGCUCCGCAGUGGCUCACACACGCAUGCACACAGACACAAACACAGCCUGGGGUUCUCAUACACGCAAGUGCGGUGUGGCUCCCAGGGACACGGCGACAGGGCCACGCUUCGCUGUGGCUCUCGCACACCCCUGUGCAGCCAUGGAGCCCUGACACGCUGCACCCAGCACCUGCACGCCUCGGCCUCCCCACUGCCCCGUGCUCACCCUGCGCACCGACACCCCGGGGUGGGAAGGACCACGCCCCCCGGGGGGAGCGGGAUCACACAUACACAGAGACCGGCUGCUCCGCACACACUUAACUCCUUGUUUGCCUGGCCCUGCACCAUCCUGUCCUGCUCAGCACCAUUCAGCCUGGCCCCAGCACCCUCCAGCCUUGCCCCAGUACCAUCCAGUCCGGCCCCAGCACCACUCAGCCAUGUCCUAGCAUCAUCCAGCCCGGCCGCAGCACCAUCCAGCCCGGCCCCAGCAUCAUCCAACCCGGUCCCAGCACCAUCCAGCCUAGCCCCAGCAUCAUCCAGCCCUGUGCCCGCACCGUCCAGCCCCGGUCCCAGCAUCACCCAGCCCCGUGCCCGUCCCGUCCAGCCCCGUGCCCGCAUCGUCCAGCCUGGCCCCGGCACCAUCCAGUCCGGCCCCAGCGCCGUCCAGCCCCGUGCCCGCCCCGUCUAG